AGUUCUGUUAAGAGCUGGGCACAAAGAGCCCUUUGCACUCCAGCCGCAGGAGCGAAGAGGAGCCGAGUCCUGGGGCGUCCAGCGCAGCCUCAAACCCAGGGCAUCUCCGCACUCUUAUUGCGACACCGCUCUGGAUGCUGUUUGCAUAUCUCUCUCUGGGGAGUCACUGCUUUGGCACGACAGUCCCGCGAGGUGCUGGAGUCCUGUCUGUCCUCAUCACACGGACAUGGCUGACCUGUCUCAGUAGUACCCGGGGGCGAAGCAGGGAGCUGGGCGGUGGAGGCCAACGACUUUACCAAGUUGGCUCUGUCACAACACAGGGACCGAGCCUCCUGAGCCUCAAGAUUUCCGGCUGGUACCC
This 361-nucleotide long non-coding RNA is filed under the name Mus pahari (shrew mouse). RNAcentral describes it as "myocardial infarction associated transcript (MGP_PahariEiJ_G0005301.1)". Lineage: Eukaryota; Metazoa; Chordata; Mammalia; Rodentia; Muridae. The record is from RNAcentral.